Cyprinus carpio carpio is the source of this 784-nucleotide long non-coding RNA. Lineage: Eukaryota; Metazoa; Chordata; Actinopteri; Cypriniformes; Cyprinidae. The record is from Ensembl.
AACCAGCCUAAGCUGAUCAGUUGCUUUGGCUAGUCUCCCAAGCUGGUUUUUAAGUGGUUUUGGCCACUGUCACGCUGGUCUUAGCUGGGUUUUAGCUGGUUUUUACUGAAUCCACUGGUUUAAGCUGGUUUUGGCCGGAUUAGCAUAGAAACAUGCUAACAACAUGCAAGUUACUCACUAAUCAGACUAGAAACAUACUUCUAACAUGGUUUAAAGUGGUUUUGGCCACUGUCACGCUGGCCUUACCUGGUCUUAGCUGGUUUUCUUUACUGAAUCAACUGGUUUUAGCUGGUUUAGUAUAGAAAAAUGAAAACAACAUGCUAGUUACUCACUAAUCAGACUAGAAACAUGCUUUUAACAUGGUUUUAAAGUGGUUUUGGCCACUGUCACGCUGGCCUUAGCUGGUCUUAGCUGGUUUUAGCUGGUUUUCCUUACUGAAUCAACUGGUUUUAGCUAGAUUAUCAUAGAAACAUGUUAACAACAUGUUAGUAACUUGAUAAUCAGGUUAGAAACAUGCUUUUAACAUGCUUUUAACAUGGUUUUAAAGUAGUUUUGGCCACUGUCACGCUGGUCUUAGCUGGUCUUAGCUGGUUUUAGCUGGUUUUCUUUACUGAAUCAACUGGUUUUAGCUAGAUUAUUAUAGAAACAUGCUAGCGACAUGCUAGUCACUUGCUAAUCAUGCUAGAAACAUGCUAGCGACAUGCUAGUCACUCGCUAAUCAUGAUAAAAACAUGCUAGUGACAUGCUAGUCACUUGCUAAUCAUGCUAGAAACAUGCUAGCGAC